UGCAGUCGAGCGGUACUUUGGAGCUUGCUCCAUUGCUUUAGCGCGCGCGACGGGUGUGAGUCACGUGGGGACCUGCCCUGCAGAGGGGGUAACUCCGGGGAACCGGUGCUUAAUACGAAUAGUUUUUUGCCCCUCCUGGGGCGCAACUUGUUGACCUCUUCAGCUGUCACUGCUAGAUGGGACCGCGGCGCAUUAGCUAUAUGGGGGGGUAAUGGCCCCCAUCUGCAACUAUGCUUAGACGACCUGAGAGGGUGAUCGGACUGACUGGGACUGAGAACUCCUCCAGACUCCUACGGUGGGCAACAUUGGGGAAUCUUCCGCACUGUGAUCCAGUCUGACCGAGCGUGCCGCGUGGCUGUUUAAUGUUUUCGGAUCUUAAAACUCUGUUGUGACUCAAUAACUAAUACCAAUUAACUACUGGUACCUUGACGGUACCUCACCCGACAGCCUCUGCUAACUACGUGCCGGCAGCCGCGAUAAUACGUACGUGGCUCGC
RNAcentral lists this ribosomal RNA (496 nucleotides) under Planomicrobium sp. H71. RNAcentral describes it as "bacterial SSU rRNA". It matches the Rfam family "Bacterial small subunit ribosomal RNA", at positions 56 to 539 of the family's 1533-position model. Lineage: Bacteria; Bacillati; Bacillota; Bacilli; Caryophanales; Caryophanaceae. The record is from RNAcentral.